GGGGAUGUGGCGAAAAGUGGUAAACGCGCACGAUUAAGACUCGUGUAUCAUCAUUAGAUGGCAUCCAGCUUCAAGACCUGGCAUCCCCA
Molecule: transfer RNA, 89 nt
Filed under: Crassvirales sp.
Lineage: Duplodnaviria; Heunggongvirae; Uroviricota; Caudoviricetes; Crassvirales
Description: tRNA-Leu
Source: RNAcentral